RNAcentral lists this ribosomal RNA (229 nucleotides) under uncultured bacterium. RNAcentral's name for it is "partial 16S ribosomal RNA". It matches the Rfam family "Bacterial small subunit ribosomal RNA", at positions 568 to 796 of the family's 1533-position model. The record is from RNAcentral.
UGCGUAGGCGGAUUAAUAAGUCUGUGGUGAAAUCUCUCGGCUCAACCGGGAAACUGCCAUUGAUACUGUUAAUCUUGAGUUCGGUUGAGGUAGGCGGAAUGUGUAAUGUAGCGGUGAAAUGCUUAGAUAUUACACAGAACACCAAUUGCGUAGGCAGCUUACUAGACCGACACUGACGCUGAGGCACGAAAGCGUGGGUAGCGAACAGGAUUAGAUACCCUGGUAGUCC